UUUCCGUAGGUGAACCUGCGGAAGGAUCACUAUUGGAUUUUGAAACUUCAGGCUGCUGCUGGCUCUCCUCGGAGGGCAUGUGCACGCUUGUUGUCCAUUAUUUCUCCCACUGUGCACAAAUUGUAGACCUUUCAGUAGGCCUAUGUUGUUUUUCACAAUCUCUGAAUGUAAUAGAAUGGUUUUGAAUCUUGGGAAAUACAAUACAACUUUUAACAACGGAUAUCUUGGCUCUU
RNAcentral lists this unclassified non-coding RNA (233 nucleotides) under plant metagenome. RNAcentral describes it as "partial contains small subunit ribosomal RNA, internal transcribed spacer 1, and 5.8S ribosomal RNA". The record is from RNAcentral.